UUGAUUCAAAGUACAACAAGAGAGGAGAGUAAGAAGGAUACAAGGAGGGGAUAGUGGUGGUUCUAUGGAGGUCAAUUCACCUAAAGAGGCGAAGAGUUAGAAAGGAAUAAGAGGAUAGACUGAUUAUGAGAGAGGAAUGAUUUGCUUAAAGUAACCUUAAGGUUGAAAAGUCGAUCCCUUCUUCAUCAUUGGAAGGGUAUUUAUAGGAG
This 209-nucleotide long non-coding RNA is filed under the name Gossypium barbadense (sea-island cotton). Its description in RNAcentral is "long non-coding RNA (GBAR_LNC020121)". Lineage: Eukaryota; Viridiplantae; Streptophyta; Magnoliopsida; Malvales; Malvaceae. The record is from RNAcentral.